RNAcentral lists this unclassified non-coding RNA (339 nucleotides) under soil metagenome. RNAcentral describes it as "partial contains 5.8S ribosomal RNA, internal transcribed spacer 2, and large subunit ribosomal RNA". The stretch from base 1 to 120 matches the Rfam family "5.8S ribosomal RNA", at positions 35 to 154 of the family's 154-position model. The record is from RNAcentral.
GAUGAAGAACUUAGCGAAAUGCGAUACGUAGUGUGAAUUGCAGAAUUCAGUGAAUCAUCGAAUCUUUGAACGCACAUUGCACCUCUCGGUAUUCCGGGAGGUAUGCCUGUUCGAGCGUCAUUUGUACCCUCAAGCUCUGCUUGGUGUUGGGUGUUUGUUCCGCCUCUGUGUGUGAACUCGCCUCAAAACAAUUGGCAGCCGGCGUACUUGUUUCGGAGCGCAGCACAUUUUGCGAUCCAGAUCAACGUACAGCGGCAUCCAAGAAGCCUUAUUUAACGCUCUUGACCUCGGAUCAGGUAGGGAUACCCGCUGAACUUAAGCAUAUCAAUAAGCGGAGGA